Molecule: long non-coding RNA, 430 nt
Filed under: Mus musculus (house mouse)
Lineage: Eukaryota; Metazoa; Chordata; Mammalia; Rodentia; Muridae
Description: long non-coding RNA chr1:162316091-162316521
Source: RNAcentral
CCAGUUCAGUACUGUUGUGACUUCUGACCAAAGCAAGAACCAUGAACGUACUUCGAUGCAUCCUUGCACAUUUGAAGGAAGAUUAUAUUCCCCACUCUUUCCAAAGAGCAGUAACAGUAGGGUACUGCUAGGUCUACGCCCAUCUGAAUAGACAAUGAACUUCACGUUGUAGGAGGACACUACAGAAGUCAUCAGGUUGACUAAGUAGCCCAGGUUUACAAAAAGAAAGAUGUCACAUUGCACUGAAUGGGUACAGCAGAAAAGUGCUAAUGGCAUCACUGUCCACGCAGGUGCUCAUCCCAGGAGGUUGUUAUCACCAGGCGAAAGCUGGACUACAGUGGGAAAAAGUUCCUAGAACAGGAAUCCAAAUCUCGCCAAGUAGGGAAGAAAUAAGACAAAUAUAAGGAAGAAACUACUGGCAAGAGUAGUG